GGCCCGUUGGGGAAGCGGGUUAACACAGCAGCCCUUCACGCUGUCAUACAGGGGUUCGAAUCCCCUACGGGUCACCA
This 77-nucleotide transfer RNA is filed under the name Brevibacillus laterosporus. Its description in RNAcentral is "tRNA-Glu". It matches the Rfam family "tRNA". Rfam says of the family: Transfer RNA (tRNA) molecules are approximately 80 nucleotides in length. Their secondary structure includes four short double-helical elements and three loops (D, anti-codon, and T loops). Lineage: Bacteria; Bacillati; Bacillota; Bacilli; Caryophanales; Paenibacillaceae. The record is from RNAcentral.